RNAcentral lists this ribosomal RNA (253 nucleotides) under uncultured bacterium. RNAcentral describes it as "partial 16S ribosomal RNA". It matches the Rfam family "Bacterial small subunit ribosomal RNA", at positions 524 to 776 of the family's 1533-position model. The record is from RNAcentral.
UACGGAGGGUGCAAGCGUUAAUCGGAAUUACUGGGCGUAAAGCGCACGCAGGCGGUUUGGUAAGUUAGAUGUUAAAGCCCCCGGCUCAACCUGGGAAUUGCAUUUAAAACUGUCCAGCUAGAGUCUUGUAGAGGGGGGUAGAAUUCCAGGUGUAGCGGUGAAAUGCGUAGAGAUCUGGAGGAAUACCGGUGGCGAAGGCGGCCCCCUGGACAAAGACUGACGCUCAGGUGCGAAAGCGUGGGGAGCAAACAGG